UACGUAGGUGGCAAGCGUUGUCCGGAAUUAUUGGGCGUAAAGCGCGCGCAGGUGGUCCUUUAAGUCUGAUGUGAAAGCCCACGGCUCAACCGUGGAGGGUCAUUGGAAACUGGGGGACUUGAGUGCAGAAGAGGAUAGUGGAAUUCCAAGUGUAGCGGUGAAAUGCGUAGAGAUUUGGAGGAACACCAGUGGCGAAGGCGGCGACCUGGGCCAAUAUUGACGCUGAGGUGCGAAAGCGUGGGGAGCAAACAGG
RNAcentral lists this ribosomal RNA (253 nucleotides) under uncultured bacterium. Its description in RNAcentral is "partial 16S ribosomal RNA". It matches the Rfam family "Bacterial small subunit ribosomal RNA", at positions 524 to 776 of the family's 1533-position model. The record is from RNAcentral.